This 381-nucleotide ribosomal RNA is filed under the name uncultured marine Chaetocerotaceae. RNAcentral describes it as "SSU rRNA". It matches the Rfam family "Eukaryotic small subunit ribosomal RNA", at positions 587 to 972 of the family's 1831-position model. The record is from RNAcentral. Lineage: Eukaryota; Bacillariophyta; Thalassiosirophyceae; Chaetocerotales; Chaetocerotaceae.
AGCUCCAAUAGCGUAUAUUAAAGUUGCUGCAGUUAAAAAGCUCGUAGUUGCAUUUCCGAGGCAAGGGAUUAGUCCGACCUUUGGUGGGUAUUUAAUCCUCUUGCCUCGUCCUUGAGUGGUGCUUCUUGGUAUUAAGUUAUCGAGGAGAUAGCCGCUCAUCGUUUACUGUGAGAAAAUUAGAGUGUUCAAAGCAGGCUUAUGCCGUUGAAUAUAUUAGCAUGGAAUAAUAAGAUAGGACCUCGGUACUAUUUUGGUGGUUUGAGAACCAAGGUAAUGAUGAAUAGGGACAGUUGGGGGUAUUCGUAUUCAGUGGUCAGAGGUGAAAUUCUUAGAUUUACGGAAGACGAACUACUGCGAAAGCAUUUACCAAGGAUGUUUUCA